GUGGGGAAUCUUCCGCAAUGGACGAAAGUCUGACGGAGCAACGCCGCGUGAGUGAAGAAGGUUUUCGGAUCGUAAAGCUCUUUCGUUAGGGACGAACGUGCUCUUUGUGAAUAAUGAGGAGUAAUGACGGUACCUAAAUAAGAAGCCACGGCUAACUACGUGCCAGCAGCCGCGGUAAUACGUAGGUGGCAAGCGUUGUCCGGAAUUAUUGGGCGUAAAGCGCGCGCAGGCGGGAUAUCAAGUCUGUCUUAAAAGUGCGAGGCUCAACCUCGUGAGGUGACAGAAACUGGUAUUCUUGAGUGUCGGAGAGGAAAGUGGAAUUCCAAGUGUAGCGGUGAAAUGCGUAGAGAUUUGGAAGAACACCAGUGGCGAAGGCGACUUUCUGGACGAUGUCUGACGCUGAGGCGCGAAAGCUAGGGGAGCGAACGGGAUUAGAUACCCUAGUAGUCC
Molecule: ribosomal RNA, 450 nt
Filed under: uncultured bacterium
Lineage: Bacteria
Description: partial 16S ribosomal RNA
Rfam family: Bacterial small subunit ribosomal RNA
Source: RNAcentral